Molecule: ribosomal RNA, 271 nt
Filed under: Platysaurus monotropis
Lineage: Eukaryota; Metazoa; Chordata; Lepidosauria; Squamata; Cordylidae
Description: partial 16S large subunit ribosomal RNA
Source: RNAcentral
GCCAAGACUAUAAGCCCAAUCACCAAACCAAAUAUCAAUAAUAACCUAAAACAAACCAUUUGACUAUAAAAGUAUUUGAGAAAGAACCUAUAAUUUGGCGCAAUACUUAACCGUAAGGGUUUAUUGAAAGAAAAAUGAAAAAUUCAAGCACAGUAAAGCAAAGAUCUACCCUUGUACCUUUUGCAUCAUGGUUUAGCAAGAAAAACCAGACAAAGCGCCCUUAAGCCUGUCCCCCCGAAACUAUGUGAGNUACUUUAGGCAAUACCAGAUC